RNAcentral lists this ribosomal RNA (468 nucleotides) under uncultured bacterium. RNAcentral describes it as "partial 16S ribosomal RNA". It matches the Rfam family "Bacterial small subunit ribosomal RNA", at positions 28 to 507 of the family's 1533-position model. The record is from RNAcentral.
GACGAACGCUGGCGGCGUGCUUAACACAUGCAAGUCGAGCGGAAAGGCCCUGCUUUUGUGGGGUGCUCGAGUGGCGAACGGGUGAGUAACACGUGAGUAACCUGCCCUUGACUUUGGGAUAACUUCAGGAAACUGGGGCUAAUACCGGAUAGGAGCUCCUGCUGCAUGGGGGGGGUUGGAAAGUGUCGGCGGUUGGGGAUGGACUCGCGGCUUAUCAGCUUGUUGGUGGGGUAGUGGCUUACAAAGGCUUUGACGGGUAGCCGGCCUGAGAGGGUGACCGGCCACAUUGGGACUGAGAUACGGCCCAGACUCCUACGGGAGGCAGCAGUGGGGAAUAUUGCACAAUGGGCGGAAGCCUGAUGCAGAAACGCCGCGUGCGGGAUGACGGCCUUCGGGUUGUAAACCGCUUUCGCCUGUGACGAAGCGUGAGUGACGGUAAUGGGUAAAGAAGCAACGGCUAACUACGUG